GCUGCCAAUACUUUAUAAACACUAUACACAUAUUUCUAAGUAAUGUGAGAAGAAAUGGAUACAAUGGAAGUGAAGUUCUUUCAAAAAAAAAAAAAAAAAAAAAAAACUCCUUGAUGGAAGUGAGCAGGGUUAAAAUGCAGAGGUUUUAUUGAAUACCAAGAAGGAAUUCAAGUAAAUUUGUGAGCAUAACUAUAAAUUAGAUGAAGAAAUUGGAAUAUACACCUUAGAUGCGGCUUUGUGAAAACCGAGGUGUGAAGUCCAAAAUGCAAUGCAUUCAUGAACAAAAAUCAUAGCUAAAAGUUGAUGAAGAUGAUGAUGGUAUGAUCUCAACUCAUGCUACUGAUCCUGAUGAACUAAUAUCUAAAGAAAAUGACAAAGUUUGGAAAUUGAUUCAAGAAAUCAAAGGUAAGAUGCAUGCAUGCCAGAAAAAGGUUUUUGAAUUUCCAUGGCAAAACAUUACUGGCUCAACGGAACCAUCAUUCAUGAAAGAAAAAUUCAAAACAAACGGUGGUUAUGUUAUGUUAUAACCACCGUUUGAGUUAGAUUUUUCUUUCAUGAGUGAUUGUUCCAUUGAGCUAGUAAUGUUUUGCCAAAGAAACUCAAAAGCUUUUUCCUAGUGUGCAUGCGUUUUACCUUUGAUUUCUUGAAUCAAUUUCGAAACAUUGUCAUUUUGUUUAGUUAUUAGUUCAUAAGGAUCAGUAGCCUUGUGAAUCAAUGCUUGCGCUGAAGGUAUUAGUUCAACAGCUGCUUCUAGACUGAUUUUUUAUUUAUUUUUUGGAUUCUGAGUGGAAUCUUUCAAAAAUAAAGCAAGCUAUUGUGCACAAUUUUCUUCUGGGUCAACAGAAAAUGGUUUAUGUGUAUGAGUUAUUGGCGGCUGGAUCAAUGAACUGAAUGGAGGAAGAUAAGUAUAGAAGAACUACUUGGGAAGCGUGCGUUUCUUGCAUGAUUUUUAGUGCGGAGGUUGUUAAGGAUCCUUCUAAAUAGAAAGCUGAGAAGAAUGAAGAUGAUAUACUUAGGGAUAUGGUUGAAGAGAAUAAGUCUAAAGCUAUUCAUAUGAUUAUGAAGAAUGAAAAGGCUUCAACAAGCUAAUAAAAGGGUCAUUCAUAAAGCUUGUAGUAGCAGGAGGAACUGUAGGAAGGGAGUAAAGGCACAAGCCAUUUUGCUUAUGUAAAGCCCCCAUUGUUUAUGAGAAUAAAAUUUUCAUCACAUAUUGAAUAUUUUAUUUUAAUUAUUAA
This is a long non-coding RNA of Medicago truncatula (barrel medic), 1235 nucleotides long. RefSeq lists it as uncharacterized. NCBI's taxonomy places the organism in Eukaryota, Viridiplantae, Streptophyta, Magnoliopsida, Fabales, Fabaceae. The record is from RefSeq and is a predicted model, not a curated record. The transcript has 4 exons.